GACGAACGCUGGCGGCGUGCUUAACACAUGCAAGUCGAACGGAAAGGCCCUGCUUUUGUGGGGUGCUCGAGUGGCGAACGGGUGAGUAACACGUGAGUAACCUGCCCUUGACUUUGGGAUAACUUCAGAAAACUGGGGCUAAUACCGGAUAGGAGCUCCUGCUGCAUGGUGGGGGUUGGAAAGUUUCGGCGGUUGGGGAUGGACUCGCGGCUUAUCAGCUUGUUGGUGGGGUAGUGGCUUACCAAGGCUUUGACGGGUAGCCGGCCUGAGAGGGUGAACGGCCACAUUGGGACUGAGAUACGGCCCAGAAUCCUACGGGAGGCAGCAGUGGGGAAUAUUGCACAAUGGGCGGAAGCCUGAUGCAGCAACGCCGCGUGCGGGAUGACGGCCUUCGGGUUGUAAACCGCUUUCGCCUGUGACGAAGCGUGAGUGACGGUAAUGGGUAAAGAAGCACCGGCUAACUACGUG
RNAcentral lists this ribosomal RNA (468 nucleotides) under uncultured bacterium. RNAcentral's name for it is "partial 16S ribosomal RNA". It matches the Rfam family "Bacterial small subunit ribosomal RNA", at positions 28 to 507 of the family's 1533-position model. The record is from RNAcentral.